Molecule: non-coding RNA, 1264 nt
Organism: Anas platyrhynchos (mallard)
Lineage: Eukaryota; Metazoa; Chordata; Aves; Anseriformes; Anatidae
Source: RefSeq, a predicted model, not a curated record
CUGCCAGCGUUAGGUUCACUAAAGCACUUAGCGAGUACCGCGAGCGGGCGCACGGAGCAGAAUCCCAAAGCCCCGUGUUCAUACACAGGCUGCUACCAAAAAUCCCAGCAACAAUUUUCCCAAUCUGUUUACCUGGAGCAGCCAACCAGCUCAAAAAUAGAGGGAUGGCGGGGUAUAAGCCUCCAUCUGUUCCAUGUUUAACAACCCCAAGGAGAGCGCUUUGAACUCGGCUUCCUCCCGUCCCCACCCACCCACCAGACCUCCACAGCAGCACCAAGUACAAUAAUUAACAGCUGGACUUGAUGACCUGAGGGGUCUUUUCCAAGCUAAACGAUUCUAAUCAGCUUUCUGAGGGAGCAAGUGAACGUUUUCAGCAGAAACUGAGACCAUCUGUGGCACACCUUGUGGGACACCCUGUUUCAAAGCAUGAAAUGUCUGGAAUCAAGAGGAGACCCUGCUGUCCCCACUCAGUGUGGUUCUCUCCCCAGUACCUGCUCUGCCUGUGGAGGCAAAACAGCAAGCCAGCAUUUAAAACUUUUUUCUUUUUCGUCUCAGGGCAGCCCUACCAGGAGGGGACAGCAGAUGGCACUCGAACAGCAGCAGAGGAACAACCACCACUCCCCCUCCUGCAAAGGCUGAUAGGUCAGACGGGUUCAUGAAGAUCCUGGGUGACAAAGAUCAUCCUUCUUAUUUAGACAGAUCAGAGAUUCCUAUUUUACAGGUAGGAAUGUGAAAUUGCUUUAUUUUUCUCUAUAGGUCUUUUUUUUUUUCUAAAUUUGAGAAGUCUUCUAACAACCGCAAUGCUAAGAAGGUUCAGGGACCUGCAAAGAUAAGGUCACCUAAACCAGAUAAACCCAGUAUAAAUGAGCCAGAAUUUAAAGGGCUUGAUAGACCAACUCUUCACUUCCUAAAUCUGUUCACUGACAGCAAGCUCUCUGUCCUUUUUCUUAUUGCCAGUGAAUAUGGUCACACCACAGAGUGACACACUUGCAUGAUAAGAUGUGUUGUUUCCCUGAAAGCUGUCUUCUAGCUGAAGCAGAACACAAAUAAUUUGCGUUAUCUCUGCAGCAGCAGGAUGCAGACCCUGUUGUGUUAAGUCAUCCUUGAAAGCAGCAAGACAAAGGCAAUCCCAGCCCCAAACCUCAAACUACCUUUGGCCACAUAAAGGAUGUCUGAAGCAUCCUUUAUGCUAAGUCAUUUAUGUUAAGACUCCUUUCAGUGAAGCAUUUUUCUCAGGCUUCAGUGCGCUGAGGGGUUAAAGGCA